RNAcentral lists this long non-coding RNA (517 nucleotides) under Elaeis guineensis (African oil palm). Its description in RNAcentral is "long non-coding RNA (EGUI_LNC026579)". Lineage: Eukaryota; Viridiplantae; Streptophyta; Magnoliopsida; Arecales; Arecaceae. The record is from RNAcentral.
UGGGUUUAACUGUCUUGUCAAUUGGAUGUGUGUUUGCCAAGAUAAAAAGAAAGGAUGUUUGGGCAUCAAGAACAUUAGGAUUUGAAACACCUUCUGGCAAAAUGGGUAUAGAAACUUCUAAAAGAGCCUGAAAGACCUUGGACUAAGCAAAUCAACAAUACUUGCCACUCCAAAAGGAAGUUUGGAUUGUGGGUUAGGAGGUUGUUGAUCAGGCUAUCUCCAAUUUGGAAGGAUAUUAUACAGAUUUGAAAGUUUUCUAGAAGUGCAUUUCUUUCAAGUUGGGUGAUGGGAAGAACAUCUGAUUCUGGGAGCAUGCUUGGAUAAACAACAUUUUUUUUUGCUUCUUUAUUCAGUGAUAUUUUUUAAAGAGCCAUCAAGCCCAAUGUUUCGGUAGCUUCAUGGUAGAAUUGGAGAAGACUGAGAUGGUGUAUCCAACUUAGAGGCUAAUUUACACUUGAUGAAACAAGAUAAUGGGCGCAAUUAAAUGAGCUACUAAGCCCUUUGAGACCAAGCAGAA